UGUUCCGCUAGGCAGCUACACCACGUGAAGUCGGGAAACUUGCUGUUAGAGUUUCACGUGUCUUGAACGUUAAAAGGUGUUUUGGUACUGUUAAGAGAUAAAAUAACUUUCCGUUAAAAUGGUAAGUAACAAAAAGUCAAGGGGACGGCAGAAGUUUCAGUACCAUGUCGACAAAAAAAAGGUUGCAAAGAAAGCCAGGAAGCUCCCAAACAUCACUUGUUCGGCUAUAAAAGACAAUUGGAGGACUAAUCUUUCAGCCAGCCAAAAUUUAAAAGUUAUGGGGCUGGUAUAUGAUUCAAACAAAUCACUUCCCGUCAGCUCUAACACACCUAGGAAUCCUGAAAAUCCAGAACCAACUGCUGUGGUUACUGAACUUGAAAAACAAUCCAAUGCUCCAAGAACAGGAACUAUGAGAAUGCCAAAAGAAAAGGUUAAAUGGAUUGAGUAUCUUCUUGAAAAGCACGGGGAAGAUUAUGAGGCAAUGGCCAGGGACAAAAAUAACCACUAUCAAGAGACUGCAGCCCAGAUAAGACAAAAAAUCAAACAGUUCAAGAAAAGACCUGCAUAUUUGGUAAAAUUCAUGAGAGCUUGUGGGAAGCUCCCAACUUCAACAGAGACUGUGACAGAAUGAGCAAACAUGGUUUCCCCGUGUCGUCAUGGUUUGAGAGUCGGAUAGCGUUUCCUGAGCAAUUGCUUAAGGUCUGACAAUUGAACUCGUGUCAAAUGGCUGCAGCACUGGACUACCGGAAA
This 750-nucleotide unclassified non-coding RNA is filed under the name Daphnia magna. Its description in RNAcentral is "nucleolar protein 16, transcript variant X1". Lineage: Eukaryota; Metazoa; Arthropoda; Branchiopoda; Diplostraca; Daphniidae. The record is from RNAcentral.